This 465-nucleotide ribosomal RNA is filed under the name uncultured bacterium. RNAcentral's name for it is "partial 16S ribosomal RNA". It matches the Rfam family "Bacterial small subunit ribosomal RNA", at positions 338 to 795 of the family's 1533-position model. The record is from RNAcentral.
CCUACGGGUGGCAGCAGUGGGGAAUAUUGCGCAAUGGGCGAAAGCCUGACGCAGCGACGCCGCGUGAGGGAUGAAUGUCUUCGGAUCGUAAACCUCUGUCAGCAGGGAAGUACGGUCACUGUGCUAAUCAGCAGUGAAUUGACGGUACCUGCAAAGGAAGCACCGGCUAACUCCGUGCCAGCAGCCGCGGUAAUACGGCGGGUGCGAGCGUUAAUCGGUAGUACUUGGCUGAAAGCGAUCGUAGGCGGUAUGUCAAGUCAAGGGUGAAGUCCCCGCGCUCAACGUGGGAACUGCCUUUGAAACUGGCAACCGUGAGGGUGUGAGAGGAUAGUGGAAUUCCAGGUGUAGGAGUGAAAUCCGUAGAUAUCUGGAGGAACAUCAGUGGCGAAGGCGACUAUCUGGCACAUAACUGACGCUGAGGAGCGAAAGCGUGGGUAGCAAACAGGAUUAGAUACCCGUGUAGUC